UUACAUCCCACCUAGCUCAACUAAUCUCACCAACCACCCAACCUCACAAACAAACCAUUAUUACAUAACCAGUAGCCCGAACUAUGCGAUCGAAAAUUUAACCUUGAAGCUAUAGAGACAGUACCGCAAGGGAAAAGUGAAAUAACAUUGCCCGCAUACGUACAAAAAAGCAGAGACUAACCCACGUACCUUUUGCAUCAUGAUUUAGCAAGAAUGCCCGACCAAAAUGACUUCCAGCCCGCCCACCCGAAAUCAAGUGAGCUACUUCCCGGCAGUCUAAUAGGACCAAACCCACCUCUGUUGCAAAAGAGGGGGCAGACCCAGAAGUAGAGGUGAAAAGCCAAACGAACUUGAUAAUAGCUGGUUGCCUGAUAAAUGAAUCUCAGUUCACCCUUUAGCACCAACCCGCAAACAAAAUAGCACUACCUGCAACUAAAGGCAUAUUCAAUGAUGGAACACCACCAUUGAAACAGGGUACAACCUGAAUCAGAGAGACACUUAAACCCACGCCCCCCGUAGGCCUCAAAACAGCCACCAAAAACAAAAACGUUACAGUAUCUACAAUAAAAAUCCCACUAACUACCCCAAACUCCUGCAAACCAUCAGGCCACUCUAUACAAUUAUAGAGGAACUCAUGCUAAAACAAGUAACAAGAAACCUUCUCUGAGCACAUCUUUAAGUCAACAUAAAACACCCACUGACAAUCAACAGACUAACAACUUAAUCACACCCCCCCCCUGUUAACCCGACACAGGAGUGCAACCAAGAAAGAUUAAAAGUUAAAAAAGGAACUCGGCAAACCAACUAUUCCGACUGUUUACCAAAAACAUAGCCUCUGGCAUACACAGUAUCAGAGGUAACGCCUGCCCAGUGAUUAUUUUUAACGGCCGCGGUAUCCUAACCGUGCAAAGGUAGCGCAAUCACUUGUCCCCUAAAUAGUGACUAGUAUGAACGGCCACACGAGAAUAAACCUGUCUCUUUUAACAAAUCAGUGAAACUGAUCUCCCAGUACAAAAGCUGGGACACCAACAUAAGACGAAAAGACCCUGUGGAGCUUAAAUACUACCCUACCCCCCCCCCCCUUUUAAUAUUUUUCUUUGGGGGAAAUUGGGAAAUAAAAAAAAAUUUGACCCCAAUCCCGAAAAACCCCCCUAUUAAAAAAAAACAGAAAAAACCCUUAAAAAAAACCCUAAAUUUCUGUGCAAAAAAAAAAAUUUUCCCCCGGGGAAAAACCCCCUCUUUUUUUAUAGACCCCCCCGACAAAAAAGGGUUUACGACCUCGAUGUUGGAUCAGGGCACCCCAAUAGCGCAGCCGCUAUUAAAGGUUCGUUUGUUCAACGAUUAAUAGCCCUACGUGAUCUGAGUUCAGACCGGAGCAAUCCAGGUCGGUUUCUAUCUAUGUACUAUUUUUUUCAGUACGAAAGGACCAAGAAAAUGAGACCCAUACUCCUAGCAAGUCUCAACCCGGCUGAAACAAUGUCAAGCCCUCAGUGCCACUCAGCCCAAAAAC
RNAcentral lists this ribosomal RNA (1510 nucleotides) under Varanus salvator komaini. RNAcentral describes it as "16S ribosomal RNA". It matches the Rfam family "Bacterial large subunit ribosomal RNA", at positions 361 to 2794 of the family's 2925-position model. The record is from RNAcentral. Lineage: Eukaryota; Metazoa; Chordata; Lepidosauria; Squamata; Varanidae.